This 882-nucleotide ribosomal RNA is filed under the name uncultured Haloarchaeobius sp. RNAcentral describes it as "bacterial SSU rRNA". It matches the Rfam family "Archaeal small subunit ribosomal RNA", at positions 1 to 886 of the family's 1478-position model. The record is from RNAcentral. Lineage: Archaea; Methanobacteriati; Methanobacteriota; Halobacteria; Halobacteriales; Halorubellaceae.
UCCGGUUGAUCCCGCCGGAGGUCAUUGCUAUCGGAGUCCGAUUUAGCCAUGCUAGUUGCACGAAUUCAUAUUCGUAGCAGAUAGCUCAGUAACACGUGGCCAAACUACCCUAUGGACCAGAAUAACCUCGGGAAACUGAGGCUAAUGCUGGAUACUCCUCUACUCCUGGAAUGGAUUGAGGUACAAACGCUCCGGCGCCAUAGGAUGUGGCUGCGGCCGAUUAGGUAGACGGUGGGGUAACGGCCCACCGUGCCAAUAAUCGGUACGGGUUGUGAGAGCAAGAGCCCGGAGACGGAAUCUGAGACAAGAUUCCGGGCCCUACGGGGCGCAGCAGGCGCGAAAACUUUACACUGCACGACAGUGCGAUAAGGGGACUCCGAGUGCGUGGGCAUAGUGCCCUCGCUUUUGUGAACCGUAGGGAGGUUCACGAAUAAGAGCUGGGCAAGACCGGUGCCAGCCGCCGCGGUAACACCGGCAGCUCGAGUGAUGACCGAUAUUAUUGGGCCUAAAGCGUCCGUAGCCGGCCAGGCAAGUCUGUUGGGAAAUCUGCUCGCUCAACGAGCAGGCGUCCAGCAGAUACUGCUUGGCUUGGGACCGAGAGACUCAAGGGGUACGUCUGGGGUGGGAGUGAAAUCCUGUAAUCCUGGACGGACCGCCGAUGGCGAAAGCACCUUGAGAGAUCGGAUCCGACGGUGAGGGACGAAAGCUGGGGUCACGAACCGGAUUAGAUACCCGGGUAGUCCCAGCUGUAAACGAUGCCAGUUAGGUUUGGCGCGGGCUACGAGCUCGUGCUGUGCCGCAGCGAAGGCGAUAAACUGGCCGCCUGGGAAGUACGUCCGCAAGGAUGAAACUUAAAGGAAUUGGCGGGGGAGCACUACAACC